RNAcentral lists this ribosomal RNA (361 nucleotides) under uncultured bacterium. Its description in RNAcentral is "partial 16S ribosomal RNA". It matches the Rfam family "Bacterial small subunit ribosomal RNA", at positions 338 to 696 of the family's 1533-position model. The record is from RNAcentral.
CCUACGGGUGGCAGCAGUGAGGAAUAUUCGUCAAUGGGCGUAAGCCUGAACCAGCCAAGUCGCGUGAGGGAUGAAGGUUCUCUGGAUCGUAAACCUCUUUUUUAAGGGAAUAAAGUGCGGGACGUGUCCCGUUUUGUAUGUACCUUAUGAAUAAAGAUCGGCUAACUCCGUGCCAGCACCCGCGGUAAUACGGAGGAUCGGAGCGGUAUCCGGUUUUAUUGGGUUUAAAGGGGGUGUUGGCGGCCUUUUAAGUUAGCGGUGAAAGUACCGGGCUUAACCACAGGAUUGCCGUUGAGACUGGCAGGCUAGAGUUUGAUAGAGGCAGGCGGAAUGCGUUGUGAAGCGGUGAAAUGCUUAGAUA